GCGACAAAUGCUCAUUUUCACCCGAAAAUAUCACAGAUAUCGCGACCAGGGUUUUCAUAAUGAAUUCAUCACCGAUUACAGUUUACACGGCCCGUCGAGUUUAAUAAACAAAGAACUGCUAGAUCCACGUGUGUUUCAAUCAUUAUGCAGUACAUUCUGAAGUGAGGGAAAGCUUAAAGAUAUUGCAUUGU
This is a long non-coding RNA of Pecten maximus, 191 nucleotides long. RefSeq lists it as uncharacterized. NCBI's taxonomy places the organism in Eukaryota, Metazoa, Mollusca, Bivalvia, Pectinida, Pectinidae. The record is from RefSeq and is a predicted model, not a curated record. The transcript has 3 exons.